GACGUAGGGCGCGAGCGUUGUCCGGAUUUACUGGGCGUAAAGGGUGCGUAGGCGGGUUGGCAAGUUCGAUGUGAAAGCCCCGGGCUUAACCCGGGAAUGGCAUUGGAAACUGCUGAUCUGGAGGAUCGGAGGGGGGACUGGAAUUCUUGGUGUAGCAGUGAAAUGCGUAGAUAUCAAGAGGAACACCAGUGGCGAAGGCGAGUCCCUGGACGAUACCUGACACUGAGGCACGAAAGCCAAGGGAGCAAACAGG
This 253-nucleotide ribosomal RNA is filed under the name uncultured bacterium. RNAcentral's name for it is "partial 16S ribosomal RNA". It matches the Rfam family "Bacterial small subunit ribosomal RNA", at positions 524 to 776 of the family's 1533-position model. The record is from RNAcentral.